Molecule: unclassified non-coding RNA, 273 nt
Filed under: Hevea brasiliensis (rubber tree)
Lineage: Eukaryota; Viridiplantae; Streptophyta; Magnoliopsida; Malpighiales; Euphorbiaceae
Source: RNAcentral
CCCGAAUACAAUAAACUUCAUUUCUAUAAGUUGGACACAGCAAAAGGAAACAGGCAGAGCCAGAGCCUGUACUUGUUUUUAGGGUUGCAGCUCAGAGCUUCAAAUCAUCGACAGAGAGAGUUUGUUUGUGAGCGAGAUACAGAGAAGGGAGGGGAACCGGAGCUCAUAGGUUUAUUCCGUUUUGGUGGUGCUAGAUUGGGAAUUCGCAUUCCAGUGUUUCGGUCAUCGGAUUUCGUUGGGGAUAACCAAUUCCGGUUCGAUGUUUAACCGCAA